RNAcentral lists this long non-coding RNA (261 nucleotides) under Elaeis guineensis (African oil palm). RNAcentral's name for it is "long non-coding RNA (EGUI_LNC052372)". The record is from RNAcentral. Lineage: Eukaryota; Viridiplantae; Streptophyta; Magnoliopsida; Arecales; Arecaceae.
CCACCCCACCAUCUCCUCAUAAAGCUUCAUCUUUUGAUCUAAAACAGUCUAGGAGAUCUAAAGAAAAGAGUUUGGAUCAGCCAUCCAGAGCCUUCGACGCGAGCUAGCACUCUCACAAAGGAAGAUCCGAUUAGGACUUCGAGUGAAUGAUCUAUAGAGGUCGGAUGACCUGUGUAGCUGUUCGAUAUCAGUGAGAGCUUCAUACCACACCUAUCAGUAGAUCAUCGAUCCAUAAAAAGGUGAUGAGUUCUGAACUCAACC